GGAAGUUAAGCAACGUUGAGCCUAGUCAGUACUUAGAUGAGGGACCCCAUGGGAAUACCAGGUGCUGUAAGC
Non-coding RNA from Acanthosepion pharaonis, 72 nucleotides. Lineage: Eukaryota; Metazoa; Mollusca; Cephalopoda; Sepiida; Sepiidae. The record is from the annotation of a GenBank genome assembly.